AAACACCCCGUACACUAAGUCCACACUAGCGCGUCACAAAGUUAAUGGGACCUCAGACCUGCCAUUAACUUUCAAACCUAGCACGAACUAUUUGGCGGGCAACUUUUAGGAGCUGGUUUGUGCCUUCUGAUCACAGACUUUAAAUCUGAGCAGCUUUUUUUCUGGAUAUUCUGCCGUCGUCAAGCCUGCUGGGGCUGAUAAGCAGCAACAAUGCACCGGCGUAGCCCGUGAGGGCUUCCAGGAAAAGCCUACGAUCCAUAUUUUCCUUACAGACCUUGACAAUUAGCAGCAAUUAAUACCUGGCACUAAAACAUUCAAAUUACGAAUACCAUCUUGGUUUCGGCGCUCUCUAGUGCAGCUAGUGGAAACGCCGUCACACUAGCACUACACUAAGUCCACACUAGCCCAUAGUGUACCGAACAUAGUGUGCGCUCAAGCGGAAACACCCUGUAAGGGCCGGGCUCCAUUGACUUGUUUGUUGGCGUCUUUUCAAAUUUUCGCGCGCGACACAUCGCCUUUUCACGCUUUUCUUUUCAAUGUUGCAUUAUCUAUAAAAAGAAAUUAUAGAUGUUAAAAGAGGACGAAGGAAGCUGUGGCGACAGCGAAGAACGGAGGGCCCGUGUGGAAACGGCCGUUUCCACACGGAAACGCCCGCGGGCCCUCGUUAGGCCCAGGGAUCUAGCCGAAACGUGACCAGGUUUGCGGAAACAUUUUGUAUUUGCGGAAACGCUGCGGAAAUUUGCGAAAACUAUAGAUUGUCUAUAUAAAGCUAUUUUUUGCUCUUUGCAGUGUUGCGAUAAUAUGGACAAUCUCAAACGCGCUCUUGGCAAUGCGGUUCAGUCUCGUGGGAUCUGCAAGCAUUCCGUCUCUCUUCGAGCCCCAAUCCCCCAGGCCAGAGCACCCUUAUCGUAGACCUCCCCCAUAGUGCUUGAUUUUGACGGACUCGAUUGGUACGCUCGGAUCGGGUCACUCCGAUGUUGUUUGCAGGUUGCAGAGCAGUCCUUGCUCUUGUCAUAAUGUCUUCUAAUCUAUCAACAUGUUUCCAAACGUUGGUAGCAGGCCUUCCACCCUCUUUGAGCUGAAACACAGUCGAUCUCUCGAAUGUCGUCAGCCCCAAGGUCGGGGGCAGUGAUUGUAGACAUUUACACUAAAGUAUUAUCAAUUGUGAAGUAAACGCACGUACAUAUAUGGCAAACGCAGGCGUAGAAUAUGUUUUGACUUUCCGCCGUACUGCAAACUAUUUCUCUUUCCGCACUUUCUUCGUUCUAGGCCCUAUGAGGAAAGCGGGAAGAAACCUAUUUCCGCAGAUCCCUGGUUAGGCCUCCAAUAACUCUAUAAAUUUUAUCGGCACUUCGGACCAGCCCAUAAACUUUCACAAAGCCAAUAAACGUUGGCGCGAAAAUUUCUUUGCUCUGUUUUGAAAUCGGCUUACGCCCAGUCCCCUUUUGAUAUCUAGGCUACGCUUUGGACUGCUCGCCAGCCAAAGCCGUUGACUUUCGAGAUGUCGAGAUGUCGACAUGUCGCAGAACAACCUGCCGUCCCAGUUUCCCACCGCAACUUUGCCCACGCAACUUCACAGUAUCCUUCAGUCUACAAUGGCGCUGUAAUGUUAUGAAGUUAGUUAACGAGCGUUUGAAACGCGUGUGAGACCAUGUCGUAACUUCGGAGCUAGCUAAUGUUGGGAAGUUAGUGUGCGGCCAAGUGAAACACCCUGUAAGCCAUGUGUACCCGCCAUGUGUACCCGCCUACUACGCCUACUUCAGAUUAUAGCCCGUAGCCAUGAUCGGGCAUAUGCGUAGUAUUGAUCGUGAAUGGGCAUGCAUGCGACUUCGUAAGGCGGAAUGGGCGGCGGCCGUGCGUUAGCCAUCUUAAUAGCAGCAGAACUAUUACUAGAAAUAUAUGCCCCUGGUUUCUCUAGUUCCCCUACUGAAUAUCAAGUCUUCCAAUAUUUUAUCUGAAUCUUUCGCCUGUGAGCCAUUUCAUGCAUAGGAUGCGCUCAUGUGUGUGAUAUGCGGCAUGACGUCAACGUCCCUACCUAUUACACGAAAGUGGUGAGCAAACCUACGUAGAGACCUCGCAUUACUAGGGCACAGGUUCUGUACAUAAUGGAUGUCACCUGUGCCUGGUGGGGAUAGGGCUAGAGGCUGCAUGGAAGCAUCCUUAUCCACAUAGAUCGACUGCAUGCUUCAUCAACCACAGGAGUUGUUCAUGGCCGUAGGGCCUGGCUUGCUUGUCGUGUUUCAUUUCCGUCUUUGCCUGAAAGCACGGAUUCAUCCUUUAGCUUACCUCCACCCCUUCACGUGCCGGGGUGUGUCUACAACUAUACAGCGAUUUGUUUUGAACCAUUUGCGCGAGAGGGUGGCAGAGCGGUCAGGAUGCGGCGGAGGAUCGGGCACAGAAUACGGAUGGGAAAGACUAGGAUAUGGCGUGAGAAGAUGUAUCUUUGCGCCUUUCAUGUCUCGGGGUUCUCGUCAUAGUUGCUGCCUUGGUCGCCUGUAAGGAGGUGUUUCCACUUGGAGUAAAAGAUAUCGGAUAAUGGGUUAAAUGGAAAUGUCCCGGGGAUUUUUGCGCACGGAUUAGGAGGACCAAUGAUGGCAGGCUUAUUGACAGUUGUAUGUACGCCCGCAUACGACCUUUUCGCGGAACAGGGUGUUUCCACUUGGCCGCACACUAACAUUAAGUUCAAAAAAUCUCACACCUGGCUCAGCAAAUCACCCAAGCGAUGAGAAACUAGUUAAACACAUUAAUAGAAACUAAAAGUUCUCCAAAAAAUCAAAUUGCCCACAUUCCAGCAAAUUUCAAAUACCAACUUGUGAAUCGCGGAUUACUACGGGGAUCCAGGGGGAUCUGUUGUUGACUUCCGGCCAGAACACUAACGGCUGUACGACAGAUAAGAUGGAAUGUUUGGUAUAAAGGAGAUGAUGUUCUGACUGAAAGCUUGUUCUGUGAUACCUGUAACGGUUAAGGUUGGCUUUACCUACACAGUUCCACUCGCCUAUAUCUUAACAGGUUAUGAGCCCCGCGCCGCCGCGGCAAGCGAGCGAGCGUUUUGCUUAAGUACUGUGUCCGAACUUGCUGGCUUAGCAACUCUCUGGCUUAGAGAUAGGACAAGUAUGGGGAAGGAUAAUGAUGUAGAGCGAUUAGAUAGCUACGCCAACUAUUUUCGCUGGCGGACGGCCAUGA
Molecule: long non-coding RNA, 3183 nt
Filed under: Volvox carteri
Lineage: Eukaryota; Viridiplantae; Chlorophyta; Chlorophyceae; Chlamydomonadales; Volvocaceae
Description: long non-coding RNA (VCAR_LNC002081)
Source: RNAcentral